This 108-nucleotide ribosomal RNA is filed under the name Caerostris extrusa. The record is from RNAcentral. Lineage: Eukaryota; Metazoa; Arthropoda; Arachnida; Araneae; Araneidae.
GGCCAUACCGUACUGAAUAUACCGGUUCUCGUUCGAUCACCGAAGUCAAGCAUCAUUGGGCGCGGUCAGUACAUGGGAGGGUGAACACCUGGGAACACCGCGUGCAGU